AACGCACAUUGCGCCCCCUGGUAUUCCGGGGGGCAUGCCUGUUCGAGCGUCAUUUCACCACUCAAGCCUCGCUUGGUAUUGGGCAACGCGGUCCGCCGCGUGCCUCAAAUCGUCCGGCUGGGUCUUCUGUCCCCUAAGCGUUGUGGAAACUAUUCGCUAAAGGGUGUUCGGGAGGCUACGCCGUAAAACAACCCCAUUUCUAAGGUUGACCUCGGAUCAGGUAGGGAUACCCGCUGAACUUAA
RNAcentral lists this unclassified non-coding RNA (243 nucleotides) under Cladosporium sp. Its description in RNAcentral is "partial contains 5.8S ribosomal RNA, internal transcribed spacer 2, and large subunit ribosomal RNA". The stretch from base 1 to 52 matches the Rfam family "5.8S ribosomal RNA", at positions 103 to 154 of the family's 154-position model. The record is from RNAcentral. RNAcentral also lists the same sequence under 4 other names. Lineage: Eukaryota; Fungi; Ascomycota; Dothideomycetes; Cladosporiales; Cladosporiaceae.